Molecule: ribosomal RNA, 253 nt
Filed under: uncultured bacterium
Lineage: Bacteria
Description: partial 16S ribosomal RNA
Rfam family: Bacterial small subunit ribosomal RNA
Source: RNAcentral
GACGAAGGGGGCUAGCGUUGUUCGGAAUUACUGGGCGUAGAGCGUGUGUAGGUGGUUGUCAUAGUCAGGUGUGAAAGCCUUGAGCUCAACUCAAGAAAUGCACUUGAUACUGGGCGACUAGAGGACCGGAGAGGAUAGUGGAAUUCCCAGUGUAGUGGUGAAAUACGUAGAGAUUGGGAAGAACACCAGUGGCGAAGGCGGCUAUCUGGACGGUUUCUGACACUAAGACUCGAAAGCGUGGGGAGCAAACGGG